CCUACGGGUGGCAGCAGUGAGGAAUAUUGGUCAAUGGACGCAAGUCUGAACCAGCCAAGCCGCGUGCAGGAUGACUGCCCUAUGGGUUGUAAACUUCUUUUGUACGGGGGUAAACCCCGACACGUGUGGCUGUUUGAGAGUAUCUUACGAAUAAGGAUCGGCUAACUCCGUGCCAGCAGCCGCGGUAAUACGGAGGAUCCGAGCGUUAUCCGGAUUUAUUGGGUUUAAAGGGUGCGUAGGCGGGUUGAUAAGUUAGAGGUGAAAUGUCGGGGCUCAACCCCGAAACUGCCUUUAAUACUGUUGGACUAGAGAAUAGUUGAGGUAGGCGGAAUGCAUGGUGUAGCGGUGAAAUGCUUAGAGAUCAUACAGAACACCGAUUGCGAAGGCAGCUUACCAAACUAUAACUGACGUUGAGGCACGAAAGCGUGGGUAGCAAACAGGAUUAGAUACCCCUGUAGUC
This 460-nucleotide ribosomal RNA is filed under the name uncultured bacterium. RNAcentral's name for it is "partial 16S ribosomal RNA". It matches the Rfam family "Bacterial small subunit ribosomal RNA", at positions 338 to 795 of the family's 1533-position model. The record is from RNAcentral.